This is a long non-coding RNA of Salarias fasciatus (jewelled blenny), 113 nucleotides long. RefSeq lists it as uncharacterized. Lineage: Eukaryota; Metazoa; Chordata; Actinopteri; Blenniiformes; Blenniidae. The transcript has 3 exons. The record is from RefSeq and is a predicted model, not a curated record.
GCUGUUACACCUCUGCUAAGUUUCUUCCUGAGAUUGAUAAAAGGUCUGAUAUCUUAGAGCCAGUAACUUUAGGGGUGUGUGUAUGUGUGUGUGUGUGUGUGUGUGUGUGUGUG